AACGAACGCUGGCGGCAUGCCUAACACAUGCAAGUCGAACGAGACCUUCGGGUCUAGUGGCGCACGGGUGCGUAACGCGUGGGAACCUGCCCUUAGGUUCGGAAUAACUCCCCGAAAGGGGUGCUAAUACCGGAUAAUGUCUUCGGACCAAAGAUUUAUCGCCUUUGGAUGGGCCCGCGUUGGAUUAGCUAGUUGGUAGGGUAAAAGCCUACCAAGGCGACGAUCCAUAGCUGGUCUGAGAGGAUGAUCAGCCACACUGGGACUGAGACACGGCCCAGACUCCUACGGAAGGCAGCAGGGGGGAUUAUUGGACAAUGGGCGAAAGCCUAACCCAGCAAUGCCGCGUAGGUGAUGAAGGCCUUAGGUUUGUAAGGCUCUUUACCCGGGAUGAUAAUGACAGUACCGGGAGAAUAAGCUCCGGCUAACUCCGUG
This 432-nucleotide ribosomal RNA is filed under the name uncultured bacterium. RNAcentral describes it as "partial 16S ribosomal RNA". It matches the Rfam family "Bacterial small subunit ribosomal RNA", at positions 29 to 507 of the family's 1533-position model. The record is from RNAcentral.